GAGAACACCCUGCAAUGUUUGUUUCUCAACCAUUGGCAUCUUAGAUAUCUGGUGUAGUUGAUUCAUACUACUACUGGUUGGUCCGUGAUAUAUAUGCAAUCUUGUUUGUUGAAAUUGAUCCAGAAAACUUCAAACAAUCAUAGAAAAGAAGCAUCCAUGAGAAGGACCAAAAAGCAUAGCCAUUGAAAAGCUAAAAAGAUGAACUCUACACAAGACCAGGACAUGGUAACGAAAAACCCAAAUAUCAAACACCCCAAAAAAAAAAAUUGUAAUCGUUACAAUUAAACUAGUCCAUGGUCAAAAUCCAAAACUUUGAUGCCUAGAAUAAAAUUACUAGAACAACUACUUGUUGAACAGAAUGUUGAUGACAGUUCUAAAUACCUGACCCCUCUUGUCCAGAACCUCCCGGACAGCCUUCUCAUCAGGCACAAAUCCCUUCUGCUUCAUCUGCUGCAGAAACUCUCUGGCCUGGUCCUCCUUCUGCUCCUUUGCAUAUGCCUCAAACACUGCAGCGUAUGUAGCAGCAUUGGGACGCAUUCCCUUGCUCAUCAUUUCCAAGAUAUAUUUAUUGGCAUCCGCUAGUUUCCCAUCAGCAGCAAGUGCCUUAAUGAGGAGGGUGUAAGUAUAUGCAUUAGGAGCAACUCCGCAGGCCAGCAUGCGCAGGAAGACCUUGAGAGCCUCCUUGGACUGACCGGCAUUGGCAUAAGCCUCAACGACGGCAGUGUGGGCCACCACGUCAGGCAUAUGUCCCUUGUCCUUGAUCUGAGAGAAAAGCUCCAAGGCCUCAUGUGUUAGGCCAUCUUUGGACAAAGCGUCGAACAUCUUCACGGCAUUAUUGAUGAGGCCCUCGGACCGCAUCUUAUGGAAGAUGAAUUGAAGGUCUUUGGGGUCAUCGGGCUCCUCGAUGACGGGCUUCUUAUUAAAGGGAUCGUAAGGCGGAGGAAGUUUGCUCUUUUCAAUUUCUUUCUUAGCUUCAACACUGGACUUGUUCUCAUCAUCGUCAGAAUCCGAAUCAGAAUCGGAGAGAGAAAAGUUUACUUUGGUGUUUAUCGCUUUCUUCCUAAUCUUCUCCUUGUCGUCGGUGGCCUCGGAGCAGAAUAAUCUUUGAAAGGACUCUGGCUGUUGCUGUUGCAUAUAUCUAACUCCAAGUAACACCGGAGGUCGUUGUGGCAGUGGCUGUGGCUGCGAGGCAUUGGAAUGAACAAGCCGCAAGAGCCACGACACAGAGAGACGACUUUGGGUUGCUCCAGCGGCUGCGGUGGUGGUAGCAGUAGUAAUAGCAGUAGCAGUAACAGUAGUAAAUGGAGGUUUCCAGAGAAGUGGGCGGUUGAAGGAGUAGGGUCUGAGUUUCGUUCCUUGCGCCGUAGCCAUAAUAAAUGCUCAAAUCAAAGGGUGCGUAGCUUAUUCCCUGAGUUGUAAGGUCACCAGCUCUGCAACCCAACCAAACUUUAAUGGAAGCAAUUUGGAAGGGAAAUUGGCAGAGAAAAACGACUCCCCAUCUAAAUGGAAUUGAUGAUUUUGAGUUGGCAUUUCCCUCCCAAUCGAUCAACUUCCUUGGCCCAGUUUAGCAAUGGAACCCAGGCUGGUUUGAGGGCCACAUUUUGUUAAGAACACAGAUGAUUC
Molecule: unclassified non-coding RNA, 1623 nt
Filed under: Hevea brasiliensis (rubber tree)
Lineage: Eukaryota; Viridiplantae; Streptophyta; Magnoliopsida; Malpighiales; Euphorbiaceae
Source: RNAcentral